UGACAGGGAGACAGGUGGUGCAUGGUUGUCGUCAGCUCGUGUCGUGAGAUGUUGGGUUAAGUCCCGCAACGAGCGCAACCCCUACGUUUAGUUGCUAACGCGUGAAGGCGAGCACUCUAGACGAACUGCCGUUGACAAAACGGAGGAAGGUGGGAUGACGUCAAAUCAUCAUGCCCCUUAUGUUCUGGGCUACACACGUGCUACAAUGGCCGGUACAGACGGACGCAAAGCCGCGAGGUGGAGCAAAUCCUAAAAAGCCGGUCUCAGUUCGGAUUGCAGGCUGCAAUUCGCCUGCAUGAAGUCGGAAUCGCUAGUAAUCGCAGGUCAGCAUACUGCGGUGAAUACGUUCCCGGGCCUU
RNAcentral lists this ribosomal RNA (358 nucleotides) under uncultured Pelotomaculum sp. RNAcentral's name for it is "bacterial SSU rRNA". It matches the Rfam family "Bacterial small subunit ribosomal RNA", at positions 1024 to 1382 of the family's 1533-position model. Lineage: Bacteria; Bacillati; Bacillota; Clostridia; Eubacteriales; Desulfotomaculaceae. The record is from RNAcentral.